Molecule: long non-coding RNA, 1882 nt
Filed under: Podarcis lilfordi (Lilford's wall lizard)
Lineage: Eukaryota; Metazoa; Chordata; Lepidosauria; Squamata; Lacertidae
Source: RNAcentral
GGCGGGGAGAAAAGAAAGAAGGCUUCUGAUUCUCUGCCUGUCAGUUACAUAAAAUGAACCGUUCAAAAUAUUUGCUCCACAACAACAUCCAACUGUUCCACUUUCCAUAAACCAGUAUUUUUCCAACCAACAAUAGCCAAUCAGAUGCCUCCAGGAGGCCCACAAGCAGGGCACAAAGGCAGCUGCUUCUGUUCCCUGGCAACUGGCACUCAGGGACAAGUUGCCUCUGAAUCUUGAACAAUGGAACCAAUGCUAUCUAUUAGUGUAUUCUGAAAUAGGCUCAGCACCAUCCUGCUGUAUCAGGUCAAGGCUCCCACUUAAUCCAGUGUUCCAAUGACUGCCUGCCUGGGGCUGGUGGGAGUUGUAGGGGGAGAGAAUCAGACCUGGCUUAGAAGAUCCAGUUGGUACCCACACAGAGAAUGGAUGUUGGGGAAAUGAGACUUUUGGGAGGUGAUGUUGGACCAGAACAAGUGAAGGGAGGUGGAUAUUGAGAGAAACUAGGAAACGUUACUGGAAAGGGCCACUGCAGAGGUGGAGAGUAGGACACAGUGUGAUUUGAGUCAAGGAGAAUCUGGAUCCAGAUGCACAGCACAGCCACGUGAGGUUCAUUCAUUACUGGGUGUUGUCUAGGGUAGGAGUUGCUUUCUCUUUGCCAGGAUUUACUCCAUGGGCUUGCUGGAUGGAACUCCCUGUUGACAUCUUGUGAAUGAGGCUGAGAUAUAAAGAUGAUUACUGCAAAUAGCCCAUCUGGCUUUAGGCAGGGUAGAAAGCAGGGCCGGCCCAACCAUGAGGCAGACUGAGGCAGCUGCCUCAGGUGGUGAAAUCCAAGGGUGCGCCCCUGCUGCUGGAGAAGUAGCUGCGUUGUCUUCUGGGUUCUGGUGAGAUCUUGCGAGAGCCCCAUGAAAUUGUGCAGAGGCCUCAUGCAGUGGCGUAGCGUGGGGGGUGCAGGGGGGGCCGGCCGCACCGGGCGCAACAUAUGGGGGGGGUGCGCUCGCACUCGCAGCUCUCUGCCCCUACCUGGCUCACUCACUCUCUCUCACUGCAGUGCUGGCUGUGCGAAUCCGAUCCGAGCCGCUGGGUCACCGCCCACUGUGGAGGGUGGGUGCCAGGCGUGCGGUGCGGAGAGAGAGCGAGGGACUAUCUGGGGGAGGGACAGUGCAGCGGCCGCCCAGCGCAGCGCUGAGCGCGGGAGAGAACCACACCAGACCAGACCAGGCAGCAGCAAGAAGAAGCUGGCAGCGGCGGCAGGUUAGGGGCUGGGGGCGCAAAUUACUUGCCUUGCCCCAGGUUAGGGGGCGCAAAUUACUUGCCUUGCCCCGGGUUAGGGGGCGCAAAUUACUUGUCUUGCCCCAGGUGCUGACAACCCACGCUACGCCGCUGGCCUCAUGUGACCUUCCUGAGACCCUGGCGAGUGAGCUUUCAGCAGGUGGGGAACAUGCAGGUUCCGAGCCUCAGAUGGCGAAAUGGGACGGGCUGUCCCUGGUAGUGUGUGUGACAGAGCGCCACUAAAAAGCAACAGCCACGAUUCCUGGAGGAAUGUUUUGAGGAGUAUAUGGAAAAACAUUGCUCUAAAAAGAGUAUGUUGAUAUGAAUGGAUUAAGUAUGUAAAGUGUAAGCGAGAACAAUAAUUAGAAAUGGCUAUAAGAGAUGUAUUAUCCAAAGAAUGCAAGGUUAGUAUUUAAAUUUGAGCUAAAGGAAGUUGAGCCGGGUUGGAGGGAAGUCACAGGGGUAUGUAGGGUUUAUGUUUGCAGGGCAGAGGGUACAUGUAUUUUCUUUAGUUUAAUUUUGUAUUAGUAUUUGUUUACUUUACUUUGAUUUUCUGUGUCAUUUAUUAAGAAAGAAAGAAAGAAGCAAGCAACAGCCACAAUUCCUUUCUACAAAU